UAUGCUUAAAAUUUUUUUACGAAAGUCUAAAGAGUCUCCUAAAUAGACUAUGAGCUAGAGCUAUUUUCUGAGAUCCCAGCACAAGAACAUUUGAAACACUCAUCCAGUACAUUACCUAAAUGUUAAUUGUUACAUAUCGUAGAAUUGCUACCCUUGCAUCUAGUAGUUUGAUCUCUACUAGCCGUUGAUUCUUCGUUUCCAUCUGACACCGAAAUAAUGCGUACCUGACAGUUAGCAAUUCAAGACCAAGUACAAAUAGGAGUCACAUUAGUUGGGUACCUACUACAUCCUGUACAAUAAACAACCGGAAUGAAUGAUUACUAAUUACUUAUGUCUUAAAGAUUACCUACAGACCCUAUCUAAAAAUUAAUUUACCAAACACACCACAAGCUAAUUACGCACAAUCGCUCAAAAACCACCUGCAUGGAGAUAAAAAAAUCAAAUAAAAAUCGCGGACUCGACUACAAUCUUCAGUAAGCAAAUAGACUCAUCAAGAUGACUAAACUAACUCUCGUGAUUUUGUCUUUGGCAUUAGUGUUGUGCCUAAUAUCACUAUCAGGAGUAUCGUGUGAAUAUGACGUUGAUGGAUCGGACGCUGAUCAGGAUGCUUUCCAUGAUGCCUUGGACUGGGACGAGGGUGGUCAUUUUGAAAGUAAAAGACAUUUAAAACCACAAAAGAAGAAGAAUUCGUUUCAAUAAUAUGCACAUACAAACAUAUUUCUGAUAUGUAUCAAUUGUUUAUUGCUUAAUUUUGGUGAUAUACCUACUAAUAAAUGUACUGCAAUUUCA
This is a long non-coding RNA of Photinus pyralis (common eastern firefly), 789 nucleotides long. RefSeq lists it as uncharacterized. The transcript has 3 exons. The record is from RefSeq and is a predicted model, not a curated record. NCBI's taxonomy places the organism in Eukaryota, Metazoa, Arthropoda, Insecta, Coleoptera, Lampyridae.